GGUAUGCAAGCUUGUCAUUUUGCGCAUAGAAUCGAAUACGAGUGAAGCUGAAGAAUAAUUAUAUUGUGAUGAAGGAAUAUCAACUCAUCAUUACGAGUUGUAAGUAACUAAACUCGUUACCUCUGGAUCAACAACACAUCGUCCUAUUAUUGGCUUAUUGGCAGUUGUUUUGCUUGCCUCGUGUUUAAGGGUGGUUCAAUUUCUCUGAUUAUAUGCACAAGUUAUUAUUAUUAUUAUGUCGAAU
This 244-nucleotide long non-coding RNA is filed under the name Citrus maxima (pomelo). RNAcentral describes it as "long non-coding RNA (CMAX_LNC001630)". Lineage: Eukaryota; Viridiplantae; Streptophyta; Magnoliopsida; Sapindales; Rutaceae. The record is from RNAcentral.